CCACCUCCCACCGUCUAUCCUACUCCCUUUUGGAUUUGUCCACGUGUCCUUUAUAGAUGUUCCUUGACGACCUUUCUCCUUAUUUCCCAUGUUAUCCACCUCCUCACUCUUGAGUGGGAAAAUAGGGGAGUAAAUUCUUUCCACUUGUAUUUUUCUACUAUCAAGAUUCUAGACAAAAUGUAUGUAGUCAAGAAUGGGUGAGGAGAGCAGUCAAAGUUCAUUUGUAAAGAAUUCCUUUAAAAGAAAGUUUCUCCAUAGACCCAUGUUUUAAUAGAUAUCUCUCUACUAAGCAAAUGUAUUUAUUACAUAAUUACUUAUUUUCCCACUUUUACUAAGCAAAGAUGUGUAAUAGAUUAUUAGAAAUUCUAAUUAGAAUGCACUAAGGUAACUUAAUCAUUUCAGCUAAAGCAGAGAAAACUGGGAUGCUACUUAGGAAUGAUUUCAUUAGUGUUCUCUCAAAAUCACUUGGUAUUUGAAAGAAAUAUAGAUUUUCAGGCUCCUCACCAAACACUGUAAAAUAUAAUCUCAGCUUGGGAUACAGAAAUUUUCAUUUUUAAGUAAAUACUGUCUUCUUUCUUCAGGUGGUUCUGACUGUUCCUUGAACCACACUUUGAAAGUACUAUACUAGAAAUUUUGAAAUUUUGAAAAUGGCUUCCAGACCUCCCUCUGAACUGACUUCACAGAUCUGGUGCCUUCAGGUUGGGAAUCUCUGGAAGGGUGGGUAAUUGCAAACUCAAUUCAGCUGUUCAGCCUUAGGCAGUACUUCAAUCGAAGCUCAAGAACCUAUGACUAAGUUGACCUUUUGUCGUAUCUCUUUUCCUCCCUGUUUAUUUAAGUUACCAUCUUAACUGGCUCGUGAAGUCAAAAGUGCUUUUGUUCUCUGCAUGAAUGGUUUGAUUCACAUCACACCACUACAGCUUCAAAGGAAAAAAGUCUCUUACCUUUGGAUAAUCUCUCCCUCUCCCUAUAAAUGCCACAAGCCAGCUAAAGGAUUUUAAAGAUCUUUCAUUUUAAAUAUUUCAGACUCUUCAGAUCACUGCUCUUUUCUUUCCUUCUUAGAAGAAAUAGGACCAAAAGAAAUAGUACCGACUUAGAGUAUUUUUAACAAAGAUCACUUGCCCGAGUUUGAAUGAUCAAGAAGUGGCAAAUUCUGACUACCUUCUGUGUUCCCAUUAAUGCUUCUUACCUUCGAAUCAGAUUGGUUUGGUCCCCUUAGGAUAUGGAGCCUUGGAAUAGGCCUGCGAACUGUUAUGUAAUUUGUUCACCAAAGACAAAGCCCAGAGGAAAGGCACAUUUAAUUUCUAGCUAGCUUAGUGAAUAUCAGGUAUUGGUACCCAUCAAAUAUUCUACUUUUCACCCCUUACCCUAAGCCCCAGGGUUUUUCUACAGAGGAAAUCAGAAGUCUUAGAGAGGAAAUUAAAAAGCAAAACAAAAAGAAUAUAUAAAAUACAUUGAAGUGGAGGGAUGUCAGGUAGGAAAGUGACACCCACUGAUAAUACACAAGGUCUGUCCAGAAAAUGUCUGAUCAUUGUUAAU
Molecule: long non-coding RNA, 1536 nt
Organism: Phyllostomus discolor (pale spear-nosed bat)
Lineage: Eukaryota; Metazoa; Chordata; Mammalia; Chiroptera; Phyllostomidae
Exons: 3
Source: RefSeq, a predicted model, not a curated record